AGUAACACGUGGAUAACCUACCUAUAAGACUGGGAUAACUUCGGGAAACCGGAGCUAAUACCGGAUAAUAUAUUGAACCGCAUGGUCCNAAUAGUGAAAGACGGUUUUGCUGUCACUUAUAGAUGGAUCCGCGCCGCAUUAGCUAGUUGGUAAGGUAACGGCUUACCAAGGCAACGAUGCGUAGCCGACCUGAGAGGGUGAUCGGCCACACUGGAACUGAGACAUGGUCCAGACUCCUACGGGAGGCAGCAGCC
RNAcentral lists this ribosomal RNA (254 nucleotides) under uncultured Staphylococcus sp. Its description in RNAcentral is "partial 16S ribosomal RNA". It matches the Rfam family "Bacterial small subunit ribosomal RNA", at positions 109 to 355 of the family's 1533-position model. The record is from RNAcentral. Lineage: Bacteria; Bacillati; Bacillota; Bacilli; Caryophanales; Staphylococcaceae.